AGUCCGUUUUGACAGAGCAGCAAAAUGCCCGGCAGCAGUCGCAAGCAACGGACUCUUGAUCCGUUGGUCGAUGGUUCAAGCCCAUCACGGCCUACCA
Molecule: transfer RNA, 97 nt
Filed under: Variovorax paradoxus
Lineage: Bacteria; Pseudomonadati; Pseudomonadota; Betaproteobacteria; Burkholderiales; Comamonadaceae
Description: tRNA-Lys
Source: RNAcentral